Aedes aegypti (yellow fever mosquito) is the source of this 73-nucleotide non-coding RNA. Lineage: Eukaryota; Metazoa; Arthropoda; Insecta; Diptera; Culicidae. The record is from Rfam.
CCUCUCAUAGCGUAGUGGUAACGCGCCCCCACUAGAGAUCGGGGAGUCGUGAGUUCGAUUCUCACUGAGAAGA